GAUGGACUCCCGCAGCUGCAACGAGAACAGCAACAGCAGUGGCCUAAUGUCCAGUCAGGCCUUCCGUUAGCAGACUAAUGGGUCUUUUCUGCUGAAAUCCCCUUAAUUCUUACUGUUUGUCCUCCCAUCAGGGUUUAAGCUGAAUCAGACAUUCUGUGAAGCUAAGUUCUUCUCUCUAGUUCCAAAACUUAGCCCUUGAGUUCAGAUCGGCCAUGUUGGAGCAACUGUGGCUGCCAAAGGGAAAUUUCACAGCAUCAAUACCACGAAGCAUCCUUUGGUAGAGUGGAGAUGGAGCAUGAUGAAGUUAGAUGAAUUCGUGGUGCUGCGUGCUCUGCGGAAGAAUUGAGCACGCCAUGUUGCUGCAGUCUGACACUGCCUAACUGCAUGGGAGACAAGCUGACACUGGGCAAAACUGUGAAUGACUGAAUGAACCUUGAGUGUAUUUACCAAAGUAGGUGAAACAGGAGGAAGACAAACGACUGAGUUGAAGUAACUGUGAAACUCCGGUGACAAUUUUCAGUAAAAUUUCUGAAGAAGUACUUGAAUUUUUUUUCUUGGAUAGCAGCCCUACUACACACCAGAGACUUGAAGCUACAAACCUUUGUUUUCCUCAGGUUCUUUCAAGCAUUAACAUUCUGAUGCCAUAUUCUUAUGACAAAGACUAAUAAGAAGGGAAAAUGGCACACCCUGGAUCUAUUUUAGCGAUAAAGAUAAGAGUGGGAAAUGGUAAAAAUCUCCCUUGUUCUCAUUAUGACAGCGCUAAAACCGCCAUCAAUUAUAAUCACUCACCACAUCCCUAACGGGGGACUUCAUUGGCAACAUCUCUUCUACACAAACUAGGUCUCCUGUAAUCCGCAAAUUGCUGUUGGGUCUAUGAUGUUCUAGAUUUGGAAAGUCAGACACUUACAGUCAUGCUGGAGAAGAAAACGUGAACAUAUAAAAAAGUCCUGUGGCUCAAGAUGAUACGUUAUAUGAUGAAGAGGCAAGAAAACAGUAUACAGAAGGUGCAAUUAGCAUUCAGUGGCAAUAGAGAUCCCUACAGAACUGGUGUUUUUGAGGAUGGCUUCCUAAAAAACAUUUCCUUUAAUCUAUUGCUACAUAAUAACCACCCCAAAAUGUGGUGGCUUAAAAAAAGCAACAACUUUUUAUUUGUCUUCAUGGUAUCCUCUGGGCUGGGCUCGGCUGUCUUCUGCUUCACCUGGUGUCUGUGGGUUAUGGAAUGUGCAAAACGGCUUCUUUGCUCCAAUGCCUGGCACCUCAUCUUGAUGGACAGAACAGGUGGGAGCUGACUGGGUAUCUUUCUCCACGAGGUCUCCCCACUAGAGUAGCAGAACUUCUUUGCGUGGUGGCUGGAGGCUCCAAGAAAGAGCAUUUCAAGAAUGCCAUGGAAAACUUGCUAAUGUUCCAUUGGCCAAAGCGAGUCACUGAGGGAGGCAGUGAAUACUGGUGGCUAAUGAAUGCUUGGUUCACCAGAGGCCACCAAUCUAAACAAAGCAUUUGGAAGACCUGACUAUACACGGGGUGUGAGGAAAGAAGAGAAGUCACAUAUGGAGAAUUUGAGCUUGAAUGAUUAGAAAAAUCGAGGAAGGACCGUUCAUUAGAAGAGCAGAAGUUAUACGGAAGGACCAGUUUCAGACAUGGUAAGUUUGAGAAGAUGAAAAUGUCUGCUAGGCAGACAGAGAAAAUUUAUUGGAAUAAAGACAUUAGCUGAGGGCUGAAGUUCUAAACUCUGGAGUCAUAUGCAGAAAACAGGUAGUUAAAGCUGUGUGACUGGAUGGGUUCUGAGAAAGAUAGAAACUGGAUCAAUGAACUUUGAGCUAGGCUUAUAGUUAGAAGUUGGAAGGAGGAAGAGGAGCCAGAUUGGGAGAUAAAGAUACUGUAUAUUCCUCUCACAUUUUGUGACACUGUUAGAAUUUUUAUAUUUCUAGUUGAAUUCGACUCUCAUUUGUAUGCAUCUGAGAGUAAAAUUUAAUUGAGAAAUAAUUUAGCUUUAUUUUAGCGACUUUUACUGUGGAACACCUCCAGUGCCUUAGGUUGCUGACUUAAAAAUAUGCAUUUAUUAAUAAUAGCUAAUAUCUUUGGAACUUCCUCAUGGUUCUCAAGUAGGUGGAAUAAAUGUAUGAAAACUAAAGUUAAUGAUACAGCACGACAGAAUUAAGUUUUUAUUAAUUAAUUUUAUUAAUUAAGCUUUGUUAAUCUUUCCACCGUCCUGCUUUUGGAAAAUAACAAAUUGUAUAAAAGCUUCAUUUCGGUAAUGAAUUAAUUUUCUUCUUAUAAAAUGAACUUGAUAUUGAGGCUAGAUCAAUGGGCAGGAUUUUUAAAAUAUGGUACAGAAAUAUUUUCUCGGUAUCCACUGACAAAGUCAAGCCAAUUUUCAGAGGCUAUUAAGAGUUUUCUAAGAAUGCGUUGCACACAUAAUGAGAAGUGUUGGCUGAGGAACUGUGUUCAGAAACUCCCUGGGGAACUGUAAGCACUGUCUCCUCUCGCUGAGCCACCCAGGCAGGCCGUAGGCCGUCUAGACGGUGACCAAGCCGUCAGACCCAGACACUGUGGGCGGGCCUGGAGCCCCCUCGCUCUGCAGCCAGAGGGGCUGAGAUACGCCACAGAAACCAUUUGGAAUGUAUUCUUUUUACUCAGUCCUCUGCUUUUAGAGAAAAAUGUGGCGGCUAGGAGAAUUCGGUCAAGACUGAAAUUAAAUAUGUAUGCCUUGAAUUGUUCCAUGGUAUCACUGAUUUCCCCUUUCUCUCCCACUUUUAAAUCAUUUUGGAUUUAUUGUAUGGAAAACAACUGUACAUACUUGCUUAUCUGCAAGAAUAUAAUGAGAAUGAUAUAAAAUGUGGUUGUAACUUUAAUAUGUAUUGUGUAACAAUUUUAUUAUGUGUGUUAGUUGGUUCCCUCCCCUUUUUAAAAUGUUCAUGGUAAUAGAGAUGUGUGUUGUAUAGGCUGUGUCUUCCCUAAUGUGCUACACUGUGAUCUAAUAAGAAUAGGUAACAUUCACUGAGUUCCCGCUACGUCCUCGGCCACCUUGAUCCUCACAGCAGCCUGAUGAGUUCGGUGCUAUGAUUCUUAAUUUGCAGAAUAGAAAACUGAGACGUGGAGAGGUUCCUGCCCGAGGAAACACAGCUAGUAAGAGGCAGUGCAGGAUUCAAACAUGUAUCUCUGAAUUUACAUCUGGAGCUUUUAACUGCUUUCCAGGCGCCAGACAUUGUAUGAUCUUUCUCUUACUGUGUUGCAAUUCAUUUAUUUUGUACCUUUAAAAAUCUUGAACUGUGAAACUGAGGACAAAUUGGCCAAUGAAAAAAGGGCGCUUGUCUAUAAUCGUAUUUUCUUGCUGUUGGCUCACUAUUUCGUGAAGGGCCACAUCUGUAAUCAGGUUAGUAAUAAUAAAUACACAGUGCUUGCUAUAUGUCAGUAUUGUUUGAAGCAUAUUUUGUGUUUUAGCUCAUUUAAUCCUCAAAACAACCCUUUGAGAUAGGCAUUCUUUUACAGAUAAGAAAACUGAACACAGAGAGGUUAUGUAACGUGCCCAGGUCACACAGCUAUUAAGUGGCAAAGUCAGGGUUCAGACUCAGGGAAUCUAGCCUCAGAGUCCACAUAUUUAACCACUACAUGUACUGCUGCUCUAGUUUUAAUUUGUUUUCUUAAAAGCUACAUCUUUUUUACAUAAUAAUUUUGAUGGCAACAAAUUAAACAAUCAAAAUUAGUUUUGCCCAUACAAAGGCUGAGAUAUAUUUCAU
RNAcentral lists this long non-coding RNA (3737 nucleotides) under Equus caballus (horse). Its description in RNAcentral is "lncRNA (ENSECAG00000046143.1)". Lineage: Eukaryota; Metazoa; Chordata; Mammalia; Perissodactyla; Equidae. The record is from RNAcentral.